RNAcentral lists this ribosomal RNA (418 nucleotides) under Potamonemus asylos. RNAcentral's name for it is "partial 16S ribosomal RNA". It matches the Rfam family "Archaeal large subunit ribosomal RNA", at positions 2050 to 2667 of the family's 2987-position model. The record is from RNAcentral. Lineage: Eukaryota; Metazoa; Arthropoda; Malacostraca; Decapoda; Potamonautidae.
UUCUUAAUUAGAAUCUUGUAUGAAUGGUUGGACGAGAGAGAUACUGUCUUUGUAAUAUAAUUUGAAUUUAACUUUUAAGUGAAAAGGCUUAAAUAAUCUAAGGGGACGAUAAGACCCUAUAAAGCUUUACAUUGGGAUUAAAUUAAGUUGAAUUUGAUUAUAAAAGUUAAAUUUAAUUAUUUGUUGUGUUGGGGAGACAAUAGUAAAAUUUAUAGUAACUGCUGAUUAUAUAAACAAUUUUUAGUGUUUUUUAUAGAUCCAUAAUAAUGAUUAUAAGAUUAAGUUACUUUAGGGAUAACAGCGUUAUUUUUUUUGAGAGCUCAUAUCGAAAAAGAAGAUUGCGACCUCGAUGUUGAAUUAAAUUGUCUAUAUAAUGCAGGCGUUGUAUAAGAAGGUCUGUUCGACCUUUAAAUAUUUA